This 198-nucleotide ribosomal RNA is filed under the name Escherichia coli. RNAcentral's name for it is "partial 23S ribosomal RNA". It matches the Rfam family "Bacterial large subunit ribosomal RNA", at positions 2745 to 2925 of the family's 2925-position model. Lineage: Bacteria; Pseudomonadati; Pseudomonadota; Gammaproteobacteria; Enterobacterales; Enterobacteriaceae. The record is from RNAcentral.
GUAGCUAAAUGCGGAAGAGAUAAGUGCUGAAAGCAUCUAAGCACGAAACUUGCCCCGAGAUGAGUUCUCCCUGACUCUUUAAGGGUCCUGAAGGAACGUUGAAGACGACGACGUUGAUAGGCCGGGUGUGUAAGCGCAGCGAUGCGUUGAGCUAACCGGUACUAAUGAACCGUGAGGCUUAACCUUACAACGCCGAAG